RNAcentral lists this ribosomal RNA (265 nucleotides) under uncultured bacterium. Its description in RNAcentral is "partial 16S ribosomal RNA". It matches the Rfam family "Bacterial small subunit ribosomal RNA", at positions 793 to 1055 of the family's 1533-position model. The record is from RNAcentral.
GUCCACGCUGUAAACGAUGGGCACUUGGCGUUGCGGGUAUUGACCCCUGCAGUGCCGAAGCUAACGCAUUAAGUGCCCCGCCUGGGGAGUACGGCCGCAAGGCUAAAACUCAAAGGAAUUGACGGGGCCCGCACAAGCGGUGGAGUAUGUGGUUUAAUUCGACGCAACGCGAAGAACCUUACCUGGCCUUGACAUCCGAGGAAUCCCUCCGAAAAGAGGGAGUGCCCUUCGGGGAGCCUCGAGACAGGUGCUGCAUGGCUGUCGU